UACAGAGGGUGCAAGCGUUAAUCGGAAUCACUGGGCGUAAAGGGUGCGUAGGUGGACUGUUAAGUGUGGUGUGAAAUCCCUGGGCUUAACCUGGGAAUGGCACGGCAAACUGGUGGUCUAGAGUACAGGAGAGGUGAGUGGAAUUCCCGGUGUAGCGGUGAAAUGCGUAGAGAUCGGGAGGAACAUCUGUGGCGAAGGCGGCUCACUGGCCUGAUACUGACACUGAGGCACGAAAGCGUGGGGAGCAAAC
This 250-nucleotide ribosomal RNA is filed under the name uncultured bacterium. RNAcentral describes it as "partial 16S ribosomal RNA". It matches the Rfam family "Bacterial small subunit ribosomal RNA", at positions 524 to 773 of the family's 1533-position model. The record is from RNAcentral.